GCUACACAUGCAAGUCGAGCGAUCUCUUCGGAGAUAGCGGCGGACGGGUGAGUAACGUUGANGAACAUACCCAGAGGUACGGAACAACAGUUAGAACAGACUGCUAAUACCGUAUACGCCCUACGGGGGAAAGAAUUUCGCCUUUGGAUUGGCCCGCGUUGGAUUAGAUAGUUGGUGGGGUAACGGCCUACCAAGUCUACGAUCCAUAGCUGGUUUGAGAGGAUGAUCAGCCACACUGGGACUGAGACACGGCCCAGACUCCUACGGGAGGCAGCAGUGGGGAAUCUUAGACAAUGGGCGCAAGCCUGAUCUAGCCAUACCGCGUGAGUGAUGAAGGCCUUAGGGUCGUAAAGCUCUUUCGCCAGGGAAGAUAAUGACUGUACCUGGUAAAGAAGUCCCGGCUAACUCCGUGCCAGCAGCCGCGGUAAUACGGAGGGGACUAGCGUUGUUCGGAAUUACUGGGCGUAAAGCGCACGUAGGCGGACCAGAAAGUAUGGGGUGAAAUCCCAGGGCUCAACCCUGGAACUGCCUCAUAAACUCCUGGUCUAGAGUUCGAGAGAGGUGAGUGGAAUUCCGAGUGUAGAGGUGAAAUUCGUAGA
This 599-nucleotide ribosomal RNA is filed under the name uncultured bacterium. Its description in RNAcentral is "bacterial SSU rRNA". It matches the Rfam family "Bacterial small subunit ribosomal RNA", at positions 48 to 694 of the family's 1533-position model. The record is from RNAcentral.